GAUCGGCCCGCGUCUGAUUAGCUUGUUGGUGGGGUAACGGCCUACCAAGGCGACGAUCAGUAGCUGGUCUGAGAGGAUGAUCAGCCACACUGGGACUGAGACACGGCCCAGACUCCUACGGGAGGCAGCAGUGGUGAAUAUUGGACAAUGGGCGCAAGCCUGAUCCAGCCAUGCCGCGUGAGUGAUGAAGGCCUUAGGGUUGUAAAGCUCUUUUGUCCGGGACGAUAAUGACGGUACCGGAAGAAUAAGCCCCGGCUAACUUCGUGCCAGCAGCCGCGGUAAUACGAAGGGGGCUAGCGUUGCUCGGAAUCACUGGGCGUAAAGGGCGCGUAGGCGGCCGAUUAAGUCGGGGGUGAAAGCCUGUGGCUCAACCACAGAAUUGCCUUCGAUACUGGUUGGCUUGAGACCGGAAGAGGACAGCGGAACUGCGAGUGUAGAGGUGAAAUUCGUAGAUAUUCGCAAGAACACCAGUGGCGAAGGCGGCUGUCUGGUCCGGUUCUGACGCUGAGGCGCGAAAGCGUGGGGAGCAAACAGGAUUAGAUACCCUAGUAGUCCACGCC
RNAcentral lists this ribosomal RNA (560 nucleotides) under uncultured bacterium. Its description in RNAcentral is "bacterial SSU rRNA". It matches the Rfam family "Bacterial small subunit ribosomal RNA", at positions 224 to 801 of the family's 1533-position model. The record is from RNAcentral.